UACGGAGGGAGCUAGCGUUGUUCGGAAUUACUGGGCGUAAAGCGCGCGUAGGCGGCUUUGUAAGUUAGAGGUGAAAGCCCGGAGCUCAACUCCGGAACUGCCUUUAAAACUGCAUCGUUUGAAUCCAGGAGAGGUGAGUGGAAUUCCGAGUGUAGAGGUGAAAUUCGUAGAUAUUCGGAAGAACACCAGUGGCGAAGGCGACUCGCUGGACAAGUAUUGACGCUGAGGUGCGAAAGCGUGGGGAGCAAACAGG
Molecule: ribosomal RNA, 253 nt
Filed under: uncultured bacterium
Lineage: Bacteria
Description: partial 16S ribosomal RNA
Rfam family: Bacterial small subunit ribosomal RNA
Source: RNAcentral